UACGUAGGUGGCGAGCGUUAUCCGGAAUUACUGGGCGUAAAGGGCGCGCAGGCGGCCGUUUAAGACUGACGUGAAAGCUCCUGGCUUAACUGGGAGAGGUCGUUGGAGACUGAAUGGCUUGAGGCAAUGAGAGGGGUGCGGAAUUCCCGGUGUAGUGGUGGAAUGCGUAGAUAUCGGGAGGAACACCAGUGGCGAAAGCGGCAUCCUGGCAUUGACCUGACGCUCAUGUGCGAAAGCGUGGGGAGCCAACGGG
This 253-nucleotide ribosomal RNA is filed under the name uncultured bacterium. RNAcentral describes it as "partial 16S ribosomal RNA". It matches the Rfam family "Bacterial small subunit ribosomal RNA", at positions 524 to 776 of the family's 1533-position model. The record is from RNAcentral.